CAAGUACAGCAGCGGUGAUGAAGAGGAGGAGGAGAGGGAAGAGAAGAAAGAAGGAGAAAAAUAAACAAAAACAGGAUGAGAGGCGGAACAGGAGACAAUUUUUUUGCAACAGACGGGCCGGGAGUGGAGGAGGAUAUGGCGACAAGGGCACGGAGCCAGAGCAGGAGGAGGAAACAUGUGCUCUCACUAAUGACAGAGUGUCAGGACUGCCCUUGCUGGGGGAAGGAGGCGUGUCAAGGUGUGCUUCACUUCAGCGACGACCACAUCAGACACGGCGGCAGACCGCCGCUAAGUGACUGAGCUCAGGAAGAGUCCAGACAUUAACCUUCCAUCAGACAUUAUGUGCAAAGACACGUCGAGUUUGACUUCCAGGAGAAAAUAAAUCUUUUCUGUUACUUUGACCGUCUCUGCCUGUGUUAGUUUGUCAGCGUUGGUGCUGGCUGGGAUGUAGCUCCAACCAUCAUUAAAGGACAAUGGAUCGAAAAAUGUACGGCAGCGAAUGAUGGGUUUCCAUGGAUACAUAAGUGGAGGGGAUGUGCAGUAAAGCAAAAGACAGGUCCAAAGUGCAAAUGGCAGCGUGUUUUUAUUCAGUUCUACUCAGGACUGUGUGGUCAGGUACAUUCAGCGGUGCUCUGGCUCUCACAUGAUGUUAGGUGACAUUUAAUCUUGCGUAGCCGGACCUUUGUGUCUGACGGAGGUCUGGAGAAAACCUUAUUUAAAUCAUUUCGGUCCAUAGCAUUACUUUGUUGGUUCAAAGUGUUAGAACGGCAAACCGUGGACGCUUUUUCUAUCUGACAAUUGUGGUUAAAUGUAUAGCUUAAACAGACGUAAAACCUUCUCUGGUUCCAGCUUCACAGAUUUGCUGCUUUUCUCAGCUUUAUAUCAUUAUAAACCAGGAAACGGGCCCGCUAUGGCAAAAUAACAAGGAUUUUUUCACAGAAGAAAAGAUCAAAGUGUAGACGUUAACAGCAACCAGCUUUGCGGUCAAAAAAAGCAAAGUAAAAAAACCAAAAAAAAACCCUGCCUUAAUCUGAUCCCUGAGCCUGAC
Long non-coding RNA from Sebastes umbrosus (honeycomb rockfish), 1048 nucleotides. RefSeq lists it as uncharacterized. The record is from RefSeq and is a predicted model, not a curated record. The transcript is spliced from 2 exons. NCBI's taxonomy places the organism in Eukaryota, Metazoa, Chordata, Actinopteri, Perciformes, Sebastidae.